This 123-nucleotide transfer RNA is filed under the name Apiotrichum porosum. Its description in RNAcentral is "Trichosporon porosum tRNA". It matches the Rfam family "tRNA". Rfam says of the family: Transfer RNA (tRNA) molecules are approximately 80 nucleotides in length. Their secondary structure includes four short double-helical elements and three loops (D, anti-codon, and T loops). The record is from Rfam by way of RNAcentral. Lineage: Eukaryota; Fungi; Basidiomycota; Tremellomycetes; Trichosporonales; Trichosporonaceae.
GGCGAGAUGGCCGAGCGGUCUAAGGCGCUGUGUUAAGGUUGUUCCACUCCCUCUUCUCAAUUUCGUGAAGAAGAUGUGUCAAUCCGCAGUCUUCGGACGUGGGUUCGAAUCCCACUCUCGUCA